GCGAACGCUGGCGGCGUGCUUAACACAUGCAAGUCGAACGAUGAUGCCCAGCUUGCUGGGUGGAUUAGUGGCGAACGGGUGAGUAACACGUGAGUAACCUGCCCCUGACUCUGGGAUAAGCGUUGGAAACGACGUCUAAUACUGGAUAUGAUCACUGGCCGCAUGGUCUGGUGGUGGAAAGAUUUUUUGGUUGGGGAUGGACUCGCGGCCUAUCAGCUUGUUGGUGAGGUAAUGGCUCACCAAGGCGACGACGGGUAGCCGGCCUGAGAGGGUGACCGGCCACACUGGGACUGAGACACGGCCCAGACUCCUACGGGAGGCAGCAGUGGGGAAUAUUGCACAAUGGGCGAAAGCCUGAUGCAGCAACGCCGCGUGAGGGAUGACGGCCUUCGGGUUGUAAACCUCUUUUAGUAGGGAAGAAGGGAGCUUGCUCUUGACGGUACCUGCAGAAAAAGCACCGGCUAACUACGUGCCAGCAGCCGCGGUAAUACGUAGGGUGCAAGCGUUGUCCGGAAUUAUUGGGCGUAAAGAGCUCGUAGGCGGUUUGUCGCGUCUGCUGUGAAAUCCCGAGGCUCAACCUCGGGCUUGCAGUGGGUACCGGCAGACUAGAGUGCGGUAGGGGAGAUUGGAAU
This 632-nucleotide ribosomal RNA is filed under the name Curtobacterium sp. E34. Its description in RNAcentral is "bacterial SSU rRNA". It matches the Rfam family "Bacterial small subunit ribosomal RNA", at positions 29 to 667 of the family's 1533-position model. Lineage: Bacteria; Bacillati; Actinomycetota; Actinomycetes; Micrococcales; Microbacteriaceae. The record is from RNAcentral.